GAUGCUGCAUUUGCUUCUGCUGCUGCUACUCUUCGGGCUGUGGCAAGAUGCUGCCCCCUCUGUGAACAUCAGUAAUUUUUUGAGAAACUGCACAGUGCCCCUAGUUCCAAUGACCAUGAGCAAUGACACAUCGCCGAUUGUCCAGGAGGGCCAGUCCCUGCACCUUGUCUGCACGGCUGACAACAACUCCUCUUCCUCCCUGAGCUGGUUAUGGAAGAGUAGGGACCUGAAUUCCUCUCAGGUCUCAGCAUCCAGGGUCCUGGAGCUGUGCUCUGUAGGGCCUCAGGAUGGACAGGAAUUUACUUGCCAAGUUCAUCACCCUCUGGGCUUCCAGAACUUUUCUUUGAAACUCUUUGUGCAGGCCCAUCCUUUUACCCGUGUGCAGCUGAGAAGCAGGAGGGCUCCUGGCCCCUGUGCCUCACUCUCAUCAUAGCGGUUGGCAUGGUAGCUGGUUCUCUCCUCACUUAUGUCCUCACUUGGAUCUACUACACCAGGUGUGGGGGUGCCCAGGAGCACAACAGCGUAAAGCCUCAAAGUCCCACUUCUUCUUGAUUCCACACUGAUCUGUGGACAUGAAGACCCAGUGGACAUGUGUGGGGACAUUACUGUCAGUAUUUCCCUGCAAAUUCUCAAAUCGCACCUACAAUGAUCAUCGGAGCCCGUCGUCAAGAACUGAUCCUGGUGCCCCACAUCCAGUCCUCAGACAAGUGCCAGACUUUGGGACUUGUCCAAUUGCUACUUCAAAGUUUCCUUGUUAGAAGCUUUUGUAAAUGAGGAGGUGAGGAGAGUGGAAGGGAAGGGAAGGCCAUGGGGGAAAAUCAAGUGAUAUCAUGUACAGACAGGUACAAAUUCUCGAUAAUGAAUGCCAUUAUUAUGUAUAUUUAAAAUGUACCAAUAAAAUCUGAUUAAGAAAA
Molecule: RNA transcript, 914 nt
Organism: Chinchilla lanigera (long-tailed chinchilla)
Lineage: Eukaryota; Metazoa; Chordata; Mammalia; Rodentia; Chinchillidae
Gene name: sialic acid-binding Ig-like lectin 14
Exons: 5
Source: RefSeq, a predicted model, not a curated record